This 409-nucleotide ribosomal RNA is filed under the name uncultured bacterium. RNAcentral's name for it is "partial 16S ribosomal RNA". It matches the Rfam family "Bacterial small subunit ribosomal RNA", at positions 355 to 755 of the family's 1533-position model. The record is from RNAcentral.
UGGGGAAUUUUGGACAAUGGGCGAAAGCCUGAUCCAGCAAUGCCGCGUGUGUGAAGAAGGCCUUCGGGUUGUAAAGCACUUUGUCCGGAAAGAAAUCCUUGGCUCUAAUACAGUCGGGGGAUGACGGUACCGGAAGAAUAAGCACCGGCUAACUACGUGCCAGCAGCCGCGGUAAUACGUAGGGUGCAAGCGUUAAUCGGAAUUACUGGGCGUAAAGCGUGCGCAGGCGGUUUGCUAAGACCGAUGUGAAAUCCCCGGGCUCAACCUGGGAACUGCAUUGGUGACUGGCAGGCUAGAGUAUGGCAGAGGGGGGUAGAAUUCCACGUGUAGCAGUGAAAUGCGUAGAGAUGUGGAGGAAUACCGAUGGCGAAGGCAGCCCCCCUGGGGCCAAUACUGACGCUCAUGCACG